This 168-nucleotide ribosomal RNA is filed under the name Nais inornata. RNAcentral describes it as "partial small subunit ribosomal RNA". It matches the Rfam family "Eukaryotic small subunit ribosomal RNA", at positions 1352 to 1544 of the family's 1831-position model. The record is from RNAcentral. Lineage: Eukaryota; Fungi; Ascomycota; Sordariomycetes; Microascales; Halosphaeriaceae.
UAAAUAGCCCUUUUUGCUUCGGCAGUAAGCUGGCUUCUUAGAGGGACUAUCGGCUCAAGCCGAUGGAAGUUUGAGGCAAUAACAGGUCUGUGAUGCCCUUAGAUGUCCUGGGCCGCACGCGCGUUACACUGACAAAGCCAGCGAGUAUUUCCUUGGCCGGAAGGCCCG